Molecule: long non-coding RNA, 900 nt
Filed under: Androctonus crassicauda
Lineage: Eukaryota; Metazoa; Arthropoda; Arachnida; Scorpiones; Buthidae
Source: RNAcentral
GUUUAAUAUUGUUGCUCUAUUACUACAGCCAAAGUGAUCAAUUUUAAUGUUAUCAUAAGUUUGUUGAUAAUAUAGAUAUAAUAGAAAUGUACUACUUAGUUCUAAUCAAAUUGUUAUACAGAGAUUUCUGUAUAUUAUUUAAUACAAAGUUGAAUUAUAAAGAUUAUGCAAAUAUCUCUUGGUUCUAAGCCUGGUGAAUUAUAGACACUUCUUGAUUUACAUAAGAGGAUUGUUCUGCAAAACUAGGUAUGUCAGCACAUUUUAUACAGUAACAGUUCCACAAAGAUGGCCAUCAAUUAUUUUUAUUAUUAGAUGUGGUAAAACAGUUGCUUAUCAUCUUGGAGGACUAUAUUUAUUUCAGAGUUUUACAUGAGAAAUCCAGACCUGGCCUUUACUUUAACUUUCUAUCUGAGCCCAUCAUUAGUAUUGGUUAGCCUUUGAUGAACUAAAAAUAGCUGCUGUUAAAUACGAUAUAUCUGAUAUUGCUCAAGGGAUAUAUUGCAUCUGACAGAAGCCACUUUUAUAACUAAAAUCUAGUAAUUGAUGGCAGCAGUUGAUUUUCUUGUAAAUCAGAAAAUUGCUAUAUAAAAGUUGAGGACUGUCUGUAGUGCAUUUGUCUUAAUAUGGCAUAUAUAAAUAGACUGAUUUCAUGGGAAACGCCCACUGCUGUGAUGUCACAAAAUGGCGUCUGUACGGCGGAAAACAAAUUGCAUGUGGUUGCGUGCUUGAAUGUUCUACCAUGACGUCUCUUCAAAAUCUAAAUAAAUUUACAAUCAAAAUAGGCUUUGAUUACUUUAAACACCAUUCAAAUAACAUAAGAAGAUCAAAAGAAGGUGGUUUCUUCUAUUUUUGUGCAAGUUAUAUACAUAAACUUGAAUUGAAAGAAAUAUAUUAUCGGCC